UCUGAAAGGAAAGGACACAGUACAAAUUAAGGUAGGAAAGAGGUGAUGGAAGGUAAUGGAGCGAUGGGGGGCUUGGUUCAAAUCCUCGCUCAGGAGGUGGGAGGUUGGGUUUAAUGCAAACCUCGUCCUCUGUGUGAUGAGCAGCAAGGCAGCAUGAAGGCAGUGUGCUGCUCCUGCCUCUGCCUGGGCUCAGCCUUGCAAUCAGAAGCUCCAGAGCAGAGCUUUAAGCUGUGCACCAUCAGUGCCACCCCCUUAUUCUUUGCUAGGCUGAAAGCUCUUCAGAGCCGCGCUCUGCCUAACGGUUCCUCUCAUGCUCCAGAGGUUAAACAAACAGCAAGGGGACUUGCAGCCCAUUCUACAACAGGAGGAAACAAUCUCAUGUCCCCACCCCGAGCAGCUGUCACAAGGACUCACAAGGUUAUGAAACUCGGGGCACAUUCAGCGUAGGCACACGCAGGUGGGCAGAUGCAACACCCAGCCUUGGGCCCCCGGCUGCACUGAACCAUUUACCACCCCAUUUCCUCCUUCUGUUUUUACUCCCCCCCCACCAGAUGCAGCACAUGACUGGGACGUGGGCAGCACAGCUGGAGGAGCCACGUGCUUUGGGCUUGGUGCUGGCAGGGCUGGGGUGUGACAGCCUGGUGCAGUCCUGCCAACUCAGCUAACAAAAUGGGGAAGAAAUAAAGGGAGGAGGAAACAAAGAAGAAAGAAAAAAGGGAUGCAAACCUGCUGGGAUGCAAUGCUGGAAGCUUCCAGCAAGGAUUACAGGUACUUCUGGUCAGAAGGGUGAAUUCUGAUUCCUUCUGAGGAUCAGACAAAUCCUGCUUUUCCAUACAAUCUGCCCUUCUCAGGGCACUGGCUCAGCCCUUUGAGUCUGCACCACCCCAGCCUUUAAGGUACACCUCCUCAGAAGACAUCUGUGUAUUUUUUUGCUUAUUAGACACGAGGAACUAAUAGAGACAAAGGGACUCGCCCAGGGUCUCUCAGGAAACCUGUGGUUAGACAGGAUGCCAAAUUAAGAUCACCCAUGUCCCAAAUGACACCCAAAUCUCAGGGGCCUGCUUUUAUAACCACUGAACUCCUCAUUUUAAGUAAAGCCACAUACUGAAAGGUAAAAAAAAAACCCCACACAUGUGACCCUUCUGAUGUUUCAGUGCCUUCCAGCCUGACGCCAAUGCUGUCCUCCCCCCAUGAUGCUGCGUGCUGUUGUUCCCCUGCUCAGCUCCCCAAAUAGGGAGCAAAGCUGUUUCUUCCUCAGUGGAUUAUGGCAGAAUGUCUCACCCAGGUCCUGCACUACAGCCAGGGGAUCCUGGGGAUCCUCACCUCUACUGAGAGAGCAGCAGGGCUGGCAGCCCCCUGGCAGCUUUUGGGGUGAAAGGAUGAGGGUUUGGCUACUCACGUCUUCAUUCGUGGUCAGGUUUGAGGCAACUAAAUAAGUGUGAAAACCUGAGAGGCCCACAAUGGACCAUACGGAGAAAAAGCACACCACAGCUUCCAGCACACUUGCAGCACUGU
Molecule: non-coding RNA, 1515 nt
Organism: Coturnix japonica (Japanese quail)
Lineage: Eukaryota; Metazoa; Chordata; Aves; Galliformes; Phasianidae
Source: RefSeq, a predicted model, not a curated record